CCAAAUCCAUCUAUAAUCAAACCAUGGAAACCAAGGUCUUUCCAAAGUUAUGUGAGACCAACUAAAACCAUUUCAUGUUUCUUUAAGCAUUUAUGCAAUGCAAAGAGUCCAAGAAUUUUCAAGCUAUGUGACAAAAUCAUUCUCAUUGACAAUUUCAUAAAUAGGUUGAGGGAAUGCCAUUAUCAAAGCCAAAAUCAUCAAAUUUUGGGGCUCAACCAUCACAACUCCAUUAAAUCACCAUUCCC
This 245-nucleotide long non-coding RNA is filed under the name Capsicum annuum. Its description in RNAcentral is "long non-coding RNA (CANN_LNC009616)". Lineage: Eukaryota; Viridiplantae; Streptophyta; Magnoliopsida; Solanales; Solanaceae. The record is from RNAcentral.